Xenopus tropicalis (tropical clawed frog) is the source of this 745-nucleotide long non-coding RNA. RefSeq lists it as uncharacterized. The record is from RefSeq and is a predicted model, not a curated record. The transcript has 6 exons. Lineage: Eukaryota; Metazoa; Chordata; Amphibia; Anura; Pipidae.
UUCUUCUUCCUGCCCAAUAGCUGUCACCGAAUCCUGUGCUGUUGCUGGCCCCUCCAUGCCUUUAAUGGUGCCUGAAAGCAGAAUGUGAAUAUCAGAAGGCGUCUAACACAUACGUAUUGGGAUAGGCCAGUAGCUUCUUCUUCCUGCCCAAUAGCCGUCACUGAAUCCUGUGCUGUUGCUGGCCCCUCCAUGCCUUUAAUGGUGCCUGAAAGCAGAAUGUGAAUAUCAGAAGGCGUCUAACACAUACGUAUUGGGAUAGGCCAGUAGCUUCUUCUUCCUGCCCAAUAGCUGUCACUGAAUCCUGUGCUGUUGCUGGCCCCUCCAUGCCUUUAAUGGUGCCUGAAAGCAGAAUGUGAAUAUCAGAAGGCAUCUAACACAUACGUAUUGGGAUAGGCCAGUAGCUUCUUCUUCCUGCCCAAUGGCCGUCACUGAAUCCUGUGCUGUUGCUGGCCCCUCCAUGCCUUUAAUGGUGCCUGAAAGCAGAAUGUGAAUAUCAGAAGGCGUCUAACACAUACGUAUUGGGAUAAGUCCUUAGCUUCUUCCUGCCCAAUAGCCGUCACUGAAUCCUGUGCUGUUGCUGGCCCCUCCAUGCCUUUAAUGGUGCCUGAAAGCAGAAUGUGAAUAUCAGAAGGCAUCUAACACAUACGUAUUGGGAUAGGCCAGAAGCUUCUUCUUCCUGCCCAAUAGCUGUCUCUGAAUCCUGUGCUGUUGCUGGCCCCUCCAUGCCUUUAAUGGUGCCUGAAAG